Molecule: ribosomal RNA, 254 nt
Filed under: uncultured bacterium
Lineage: Bacteria
Description: partial 16S ribosomal RNA
Rfam family: Bacterial small subunit ribosomal RNA
Source: RNAcentral
UACGUAGGGUGCGAGCGUUAAUCGGAAUUACUGGGCGUAAAGGGUGCGCAGGCGGUCCCGUAAGCUGGGGGUGAAAGCCCCGGGCUUAACCUGGGAAUGGCAUUCAGGACUGCGAGGCUUUGAGUGCGGCAGAGGGAGGUGGAAUUCCACGUGUAGCAGUGAAAUGCGUAGAGAUGUGGAGGAACACCGAUGGCGAAGGCAGCCUCCUGGGCCAGCACUGACGCUCAUGCACGAAAGCGUGGGGAGCAAACAGG